GUCGUAACAAGGUUUCCGUAGGUGAACCUGCGGAAGGAUCAUUCGCACGUAUCCAAACGAACCACUGUGAAUUAUUGGUGUGAGGUUUUGCGCGCAGAUGGAAAUUGCAUCAAUACCUGCGUGUAAAAGCUCGAGGGCGACAGGGGUGGGAUGGGCGCUUGCCGCCUCCUUUCUGCUUCUGCCGCCAUUUAUCUUGCGCUCCUCUGGGCUUUUGCUUUCCUAUUCAUUGGUAAGGUGUUCGUCACCUUUCUUAUUACAACUUUCAGCGAUGGAUGUCUCGGCUCGAACAACGAUGAAGGGCGCAGCGAAGUGUGAUAAGCGCUGUGAAUUGCAGAAUUCCGUGAAUCAGCAGAAACCUGAACGCAUUCUGUGCUUUCGGGAUAUCCCUGAAAGCAUGCCUGCUUCAGUGUCUAUUUCCAUUGCUGCCAGUGGCUCUGUGGCUUGUCCGCAUCCAGCUGCUUGGGCGUGGUUGUGCGUCAAGAGCCCUGUGCUCCUGACGCAUUCAAAUGAUGAGCACAACUCGUGCCUCACAACUGACAAAGUGUCCUUGGCGCUUCAGUUUGUUGUGACUCGGGCUUGUCGCUCUGGCCAUUGGUGCGCUUGUCGCACCAACACCUUUCCAAGACAUGAAGUCAGGUCGGCAAACCCGCUGAAUUUAAGCAUAUAAGUAAGCGGAGGAUAAGAAACUAAAUAGGAUUCCCUCAGUAAUGGCGAAUGAACAGGGAACAGCUCAGCUUGGAAAUCGGGGCCUCUGGCCUUGAAUUGUAGUCUGUAGGUGCGUUGCCGACGGAGGCGCAGGUGUAAGCCUCUUGGAAAAGAGCAUCAAAGAGGGUGAGAGUCCCGUUUGUCACUUGCAGUCCACCGUGCACGGCGCGCAUUCUGAGAGUCGCGUUCCUCGGGAUUGGAGCGUAAAGUGGGUGGUAAAUUUCAUCUAAAGCUAAAUAUAGGUUCGAGACCGAUAGCAAACAAGUACCAUGAGGGAAAGAUGAAAAGGACUUUGAAAAGAGAGUUAAAAGUGCCUGAAAUUGCUGAGAGGAAAGCGAAUGGAGCCAGUCAGUCUUGGCAAGAUUGUCGCACGCUAAGGUGAGUGCUUGCCGCUUCAGCGAAAGCGCGGUGGUAAGUUUUGAUCUGGACGUGUGCGGUGCUUCUUGCCUUGCGAGUCACCUACGGUUCACGGUUGAAGAAAACGCUGGGGACAUGGUAGCUUGGUUCCGACUGAGUGAACGUGCCUGGUGGGAUUCACCUGUGUACCGCUUGGUGACUAAAUGGUUCCUUUCGACCCGUCUUGAAACACGGACCAAGGAGUCUAACAUAUGUGCAAGUUCACGGGUGGGUAAACCUGCCAGCGCAAUGAAAGUGACUGCUGGGAUCUUUGCACCAGCAACCGACCAAUCAAUUGAGAGAGGUUUGAGUAUGAGCACAUCUGUUAGGACCCGAAAGAUGGUGAACUAUGCGUGA
RNAcentral lists this ribosomal RNA (1458 nucleotides) under Ensiculifera tyrrhenica. RNAcentral describes it as "eukaryotic LSU rRNA". The stretch from base 623 to 1458 matches the Rfam family "Eukaryotic large subunit ribosomal RNA", at positions 1 to 840 of the family's 3401-position model. The record is from RNAcentral. Lineage: Eukaryota; Dinophyceae; Peridiniales; Ensiculiferaceae.